AUUGAACGCUGGCGGCAUGCCUUACACAUGCAAGUCGAACGGCAGCACGGGAGCAAUCCUGGUGGCGAGUGGCGAACGGGUGAGUAAUGUAUCGGAACGUACCUUUCAGUGGGGGGAUAACGUAGCGAAAGUUACGCUAAUACCGCAUAUUCUGUGAGCAGGAAAGCAGGGGGAUCGCAAGACCUUGCGCUGAUUGAGCGGCCGAUAUCAGAUUAGCUAGUUGGUGAGGUAAAGGCUCACCAAGGCGACGAUCUGUAGCGGGUCUGAGAGGAUGAUCCGCCACACUGGAACUGAGACACGGUCCAGACUCCUACGGGAGGCAGCAGUGGGGAAUUUUGGACAAUGGGCGCAAGCCUGAUCCAGCCAUGCCGCGUGAGUGAAGAAGGCC
This 388-nucleotide ribosomal RNA is filed under the name uncultured bacterium. Its description in RNAcentral is "bacterial SSU rRNA". It matches the Rfam family "Bacterial small subunit ribosomal RNA", at positions 30 to 416 of the family's 1533-position model. The record is from RNAcentral.